CCUUUAAAGAAGCGUAAUAGCUCACUAGUCGAGUCGGCCUGCGCGGAAGAUGUAACGGGGCUCAAACCACACACCGAAGCUGCGGGUGUCACGUAAGUGACGCGGUAGAGGAGCGUUCUGUAAGCCUGUGAAGGUGAGUUGAGAAGCUUGCUGGAGGUAUCAGAAGUGCGAAUGCUGACAUGAGUAACGACAAUGGGUGUGAAAAACACCCACGCCGAAAGACCAAGGGUUCCUGCGCAACGUUAAUCGACGCAGGGUUAGUCGGUUCCUAAGGCGAGGCUGAAAAGCGUAGUCGAUGGGAAACAGGUUAAUAUUCCUGUACUUCUGGUUACUGCGAUGGAGGGACGGAGAAGGCUAGGCCAGCUUGGCGUUGGUUGUCCAAGUUUAAGGUGGUAGGCUGAAAUCUUAGGUAAAUCCGGGGUUUCAAGGCCGAGAGCUGAUGACGAGUCGUCUUUUAGAUGACGAAGUGGUUGAUGCCAUGCUUCCAAGAAAAGCUUCUAAGCUUCAGGUAACCAGGAACCGUACCCCAAACCGACACAGGUGGUCGGGUAGAGAAUACCAAGGCGCUUGAGAGAACUCGGGUGAAGGAACUAGGCAAAAUGGCACCGUAACUUCGGGAGAAGGUGCGCCGGCUAGGGUGAAGGAUUUACUCCGUAACCUCUGGCUGGUCGAANAUACCAGGCCGCUGCGACUGUUUAUUAAAAACACAGCACUCUGCAAACACGAAAGUGGACGUAUAGGGUGUGACGCCUGCCCGGUGCCGGAAGGUUAAUUGAUGGGGUUAGCGCAAGCGAAGCUCUUGAUCGAAGCCCCGGUAAACGGCGGCC
RNAcentral lists this ribosomal RNA (827 nucleotides) under Pseudomonas aeruginosa. Its description in RNAcentral is "bacterial LSU rRNA". It matches the Rfam family "Bacterial large subunit ribosomal RNA", at positions 1120 to 1935 of the family's 2925-position model. Lineage: Bacteria; Pseudomonadati; Pseudomonadota; Gammaproteobacteria; Pseudomonadales; Pseudomonadaceae. The record is from RNAcentral.